RNAcentral lists this ribosomal RNA (431 nucleotides) under Staphylococcus aureus. RNAcentral describes it as "bacterial SSU rRNA". It matches the Rfam family "Bacterial small subunit ribosomal RNA", at positions 1102 to 1533 of the family's 1533-position model. Lineage: Bacteria; Bacillati; Bacillota; Bacilli; Caryophanales; Staphylococcaceae. The record is from RNAcentral.
CCCUUAAGCUUAGUUGCCAUCAUUAAGUUGGGCACUCUAAGUUGACUGCCGGUGACAAACCGGAGGAAGGUGGGGAUGACGUCAAAUCAUCAUGCCCCUUAUGAUUUGGGCUACACACGUGCUACAAUGGACAAUACAAAGGGCAGCGAAACCGCGAGGUCAAGCAAAUCCCAUAAAGUUGUUCUCAGUUCGGAUUGUAGUCUGCAACUCGACUACAUGAAGCUGGAAUCGCUAGUAAUCGUAGAUCAGCAUGCUACGGUGAAUACGUUCCCGGGUCUUGUACACACCGCCCGUCACACCACGAGAGUUUGUAACACCCGAAGCCGGUGGAGUAACCUUUUAGGAGCUAGCCGUCGAAGGUGGGACAAAUGAUUGGGGUGAAGUCGUAACAAGGUAGCCGUAUCGGAAGGUGCGGCUGGAUCACCUCCUUU